This is a non-coding RNA of Ciona intestinalis (vase tunicate), 276 nucleotides long. Lineage: Eukaryota; Metazoa; Chordata; Ascidiacea; Phlebobranchia; Cionidae. The record is from RefSeq and is a predicted model, not a curated record.
UGUUUGCCAGCGGCUUUUCUGAUUUUUUUCUUUACUGCUUUUCUGAUCUUUAAACGCAAAGGUAAAGAAGCAAAUAUGAAAAGCUUGGGAAUUUAUUUUAAAGGUCCUACUAUAAAACCACACUAAGCGAUAUGUAUAAUAAUCACACCAAUUUUUCUUCCCCUACGAUAUAAUAAUCACAACCCGUUUUUAUAUACACAAUGUUGACUUUUUCCUACUGAAUAUGUCCUACUGAAUAUUGAGUGUUUUACUGAAUACUUUGAAGUAUGGCAGCCA